Molecule: ribosomal RNA, 519 nt
Filed under: uncultured eukaryote
Lineage: Eukaryota
Description: bacterial SSU rRNA
Rfam family: Eukaryotic small subunit ribosomal RNA
Source: RNAcentral
AAGGGCACCACCCGGAGUGGAGUCUGCGGCUUAAUUUGACUCAAACGGGGAAACUCACCCGGCCCGGACACCGGAACGAUUGAGACAUUGAUAGCUCUUUCUUGAUUCUGUGGAUGGUGGUGCAUGGCCGUUCUUAGUUGGUGGAGGUGUCUGACUGGUUAAUUCUCAUAACUAACCAGACUCUAGCCUAUUAAAUAGACAUCGGGUUCUCUGCACUCGACGGUCUUCUUAGAGGGACAAGGUGCUUUUAGCACCGCUAAACAGACCAAUAACGGGUCUGAAAUGCCCUUAGAUGUCCGGGGCCGCACGCCCGCUACACUGAAGGAAGAAGCGGGUAGCAACCUUGUUCUAACUAACUGUGUAACCCGAGGAACUUCCUUCAUUAUUGGGAUCGGGGGUUGCAAGUGUGCCCCUUUAACUCGGAAGUCCCAGUACACACAACUCCUCAACUAGGGCAGAUUACAUCCCUGCACUUUGUACACACCGCCCGUCGCUACUACCGAUUGAAUGGUUUAGUGA